GUGCAGCGGAGCGAGCGCUGGCUGGCCGGACCUGGCCGCUGGACGCUGCCCUGGGUACGGGCGGCCGUCACGCGCCCGCCGACGGUGAACCUGACACCGCAGGGGAAUGGGGUCGGUGAACUGACGCCGCAGGGAGGGGGCGGAGAGCACGCCCGGCCAUUGUUCGGGAUUAAGAGGCUGAGUCAGUCGGGAGUCAGGGCUGAGACUGGAAGGUGUUGUUGAGCGUUCUGUGGUGUGGCCGAGGUGGUGCAGAAGACCGUGCUUUGUCUGACUUUGUAAGUUCGGAAUACUCACUUUUUUCUUGAGACCUUUGGAUUUGCCGGGCGGACGAACUGUGGUGAUCAGAGACAACUCCUACAAGCUAUUUCGGCACCUAAUAUCAUGGCCAGUUUUGAUGUCAAAUUAAUUCCGGAAUUCGACGGCUCCGGUGACGUGCUCGACUGGCUGGAGAAGGUCGAGCUAGUGUGCGGGCUGCAGGAGCCGCCAGUGAGGCAGACGCUGGUGAUACCCCUGCGGCUGAAAGGAGGAGCAUCUGCUGUGUAUCGGCAGCUGGUGGAGGCUGACAGGAAGGACGUGGUGAAGCUCAAGGAUGCGCUGAAGCGUGCGUUUGCGGUGGAUAAAUACGCUGCGUAUGAGCAGUUCAGCACCCGCCGUCUCCGCCCCGGGGAAACAGUUGAUGUUUUCUUGGCGGAGCUGCAGCAGCUUGCGACGCUGUUCGGAGGAAUGUCGGACGAGGGCCUGGGGUGUGCCUUUGUGGCAGGUCUGCCGGACUCUACCAGGCAGAUACUGCGAGCUGGAGCGCGCAUGGAGUCGUUAAAGCUCUCGGAGGUGGUGGACAGGGCUCGCGCCAUCUUGCGAGAGGAGAACGGCGCAUCGGAGGUGGCAGCCGCGCUGGUCAAAGAGUCACCAGGCGGUCGGGAUCGCGGCCGAACCGUCAGUAGCGGCAGGAGAGAGCGCGGACCUUGCUUUACGUGCGGCCGCCUGGGGCAUCUCGCCCGUGAAUGUUCGGCCCGCACUGGCCCCCGCGAAAUCCGGUGUUUCCGGUGCGACAAGACUGGUCACAUCGCAGCUCGGUGUCCGGAAAACGCGGAGAGAGAGGAGGAUCGUGUGCCGGCCUCCUCUCGGGAUUAAGAUGGAGCGGCGCACUACCAACGAGACACCUGAAUGUGAACGGGGUGUUGUGUGAGGUGUUGAUCGACACGGGAUGUACCAGAACGGUGGUUCAUUCGUCGCUCUGCGCCGAGUGGAAGAGGCGUUCUGUGUCCAUGGUGACAGUUAGUGGUCAGAGAGUGGACUGUGCGGGCACGGCUGAAACCGAUGUUGGGGUACCUGGGGGUGAUGCUGUGGUGCUUGAUGCGUUGGUUGUAGCGGUGAAGCCGCUGGGUUUCGGUGCAAUUUUAGGAAUGGAUGGUGUGAAAGCUCUUGGGGGUGUGACCGUGCGUUCUUCUACUGAUGUGCGAUUUGCAGGCGAGGGAGACGUGUGCGCCGGAGCAGGAGGCUCCGUGGACCUAGCGGUGGAAAAGGAGGACUUUCGAGUCGUGUUCGAUGCGAGGGAAAGGCGCUGGACUGUCGAGUGGAAGUGGUCGGGAAAGAAACCGCCAGAUCAACUGAAAAACGGAGUGAGCGAGUACCAUGUGACGGAUGAAGCGAGAGAGGACUAUGAGAGAGAGCUGGAGACGUGGAUCGAGAACGGGUGGCUGCUGGAGUACGACGAAGAAAAGCAUGGCGCUCCCAAAGGGCUGAUACCGUUAAUGGCGGUGGUUCAAGAGAACAAGGCGAAAGUGCGGCCGGUCCUUGAUUUCCGGGAAAUGAACACUCACGUCGACACGUUCACGGCGGACGUUGACGUGUGCAGUGAGAAGCUUCGUGAAUGGCGCCGGACGGGUGAGAAAGUGGCACUCCUGGAUCUGAAGAAGGCGUACCUUCAGAUACAUGUGGAGGAGUCACUGUGGCCCUAUCAGACAAUCGAGUUCAAAAACAAAAGGUACUGUCUGACGAGACUUGGGUAUGGUCUUAAUGUGGCACCCCGAGUCAUGAAGACGGUUCUGGAGACAGUGGCGAAGCAGGACAAGAACGUGGAGAAGGCAGUAUCGUCGUAUGUCGAUGACGUUCUGGUCAACGAGGAGGUAAUGUCGGCCGAGAAGGUGGCCGAGCACCUUCAAGCCUUCGGUCUCGAGUGUAAGGACCCCGCUCGCGCACAGGAAGGCGCUCGGAUUCUCGGCCUCCGAGUCUGGGGGGAGCAAGGCGCACUCAUGUGGAAGAGAGACAACGAUGUCCGAGAAGUUGCCGGACCGGUGACAAAGCGGAAAGUGUUCUCCCUCUGCGGGCAGCUGACGGGGCACCUUCCGGUGUGCGGCUGGCUGCGGCCGGCGACCUCGCUCCUCAAACGACGUGCGAACAGAGCAGCAAGUGGCUGGGACGACGAGAUUGACGACCCGGACGUGGAGCGUCUAAUGGACGAAAUUGUGAAGCGGGUCAGAGCAGAGGAUCCUGCCAGGGGACGGUGGGAUGUGAAGGGCGACAGAAUCACAGUGUGGACGGAUGCCAGUGCUCUGGCCAUGGGAGUAGUUGUUGAAGUGGGUGACGAAGUAGUGGAAGACGGGAGCUGGCUUCGCCCCGACAAUGGAGUACAACACAUCAACAUGGCAGAGCUAGACGCAGCCCUGAAAGGCGUGAACAUGGCCAUCCUGUGGGGCGCGGAAAGAGUCCGGUUGAUGACUGACUCACGGACGGUGUACCACUGGAUCACCGACCUCCUCAGUGGCAGGGCCCGACUGAAGACGAAAGCUGCCUCUGAAAUGUUGAUAAGAAGAAGGCUAAGCACCCUCAGGAUGCUCGUGGACGAGUACGAGCUGGACGUGAAUGUUCAGUGUGUCUCGUCGGCUGAGAACAAAGCGGACGCACUGACGAGAGUGCCGGACGCCUGGCAACGGGUGCUUAUGUGCAAAGAGGAGGCUGCAGCAUGCGCUGUGGGAGACGGAGACGACCCCGACAGGCUGGUGAAAGAGGUGACCCAAAUUCACCACGCUUCUGGUCAUCCUGGUGUCCGGAGGACGCUAUACUUCGCUAGGAGGGCGAACAAGCUCGCUACGAGACGACUUGCGCAGGCCGUGGUGUCGGCCUGUCAGACGUGCAGGUCUGUUGAUCCCGCUCCUGAAAAGUGGCGCGAAGGCCGCCUGGAGGUCGACACCACGUGGGACAGAGUCGCCGUCGACGUGACUCACCAUCAUGGGUGUCUGUACCUAACGGUGGUGGAUUGCGGCCCAUCCAGGUUUGCGAUCUGGCGUCUCCUGCGGUACGAGACCGCCGCAUGCGUCAUUGCGGAGCUGGCGGCGAUAUUCUGCGAGCGGGGACCGCCGGCAGAAAUGUUGCUGGACAAUGCCACCACCUUCCACAGCAGGGCGUUUAGAGCUUUCGCCAACGACUGGAACGUCGCAGUGCGAUACAGGGCGGCGCAUGUGCCGUCAGGGAACGGAGUCGUCGAAAGGAACCAUCGCUCCAUAAAGGUGAUUGCGACGAGAGCGAAAUGUGGGGUGGCAGAGGCAGUAUACAGGUACAAUACAACGCCGAAGGACGAUGUCACUGAAGCUACGACACCUGCUGGUAUGGUGUAUCGGUACGACGUCCGAGUGAAAGACGUCGACCCCGUUCCGACAGUGAGGGACGAUGGACAGCAGGAGAGCCGCUACCACGUCGGAGAUGCUGUCUGGGUGAAAUCACCGAGAGCACGCUGUGACGAGCAGUAUGGCAGGGGAGUGGUGACUGGUGUGGUGUCACCGCAAACUAUCGAAGUUGACGGUGUACCAAGGCAUGUCCGUCAUCUGCGUCCGCGUGCAGACGAGGCAGAGCAACCAGUUUCCGCAGAGGCAGAGCAACCAGUUUCUGGGGAUGAGGAGCCCUGCUUUGUACGGUGUCCCAUCGACCGGCAUGACCGAGACGACCAGCAAGACCAACAGGAAGAAGCUGCGAGUGACACAGAGGCUGGGCCGAGGCGAGGUACGCGGGCUCGGCCUGUCACGCAGUUGUACGGAGACCCCGUGCCGAGCGAUGUCUUAGAUACCUACGUAUGAGCGUUGUUAGCGUGUGAUGUGAGCACUAGCGUCUGUUGGUUGCGAUCAGGAUCGGGGGGGAGUGUAGUGGAAUGUAGUGGUGCAGCGGAGCGAGCGCUGGCUGGCCGGACCUGGCCGCUGGACGCUGCCCUGGGUACGGGCGGCCGUCACGCGCCCGCCGACGGUGAACCUGACACCGCAGGGGAAUGGGGUCGGUGAACUGACGCCGCAGGGAGGGGGCGGAGAGCACGCCCGGCCAUUGUUCGGGAUUAAGAGGCUGAGUCAGUCGGGAGUCAGGGCUGAGACUGGAAGGUGUUGUUGAGCGUUCUGUGGUGUGGCCGAGGUGGUGCAGAAGACCGUGCUUUGUCUGACUUUGUCGGACGUGUUGGGCCACAUCCUGCCCAUCGUCGGCCAAAACUGGGCGCAGAGCGGCGUGGCGGCGCUCUACUCCAAGAUCCGUGACAACGGCUACAAGUUCCUCUACCUCUCGGCACGGGCCAUCGGUCAGGCGCCCAUUACCCGCGAGUACCUGAAGUCGGUGCGCCAGGGUGAUCUGAGUCUGCCCGACGGACCGCUCCUGCUCAGCCCUUCGUCUCUAGUCAGCGCUCUGCACAGGGAGGUGAUCGAGCGCCGCCCGGAGGACUUCAAGAUCCCGUGUCUGCGUGACAUCCAGGCGCUGUUCCCGGGCCGGAACCCUCUGUACGCCGGCUACGGCAACCGGGUGAACGACGCGUUCGCGUACCGAGCCGUGGGCAUCCCGUCGUCGCGGAUCUUCACCAUCAACCACCGCGGCGAGCUGCGUCACGAGCUGACACAGACCUUCCAGUCCUCCUAUACAAAUCUGACUCACAUUGUGGACCACUUUUUCCCGCCUUGUGGUGAUCGCGACGACGUGGCUAACCUAGACUACAACUCGUUCGUGUACUGGCGGGACCCGAUCCCGGAGCUCAGCGAGCUGCCUCAGCUGUGACCUGGCUACGGGCCGUGCCGGACUCGUGUCGCGUUCAGUGCCGUGUGCGCGCGGUGCUCACAGGGGUGUGAUAGUGAGCGCCUGUGGAGCCGCCCUGGCGCCGCGAGCCAUGUCUGAAGUCGGGACCACUGCCGUUGGCCGCGCCGCCGCCGCUACGCGCGCCAGUCACUCCGUUACCGAUGUGCCGUGUUUGGGCAGACAGGCCGAGUCUGCCGCUCGUCAGUCACUGUGGUGUUCUAGCUGUUACCGUGUAUGUAUUUCCACUGUGAACGCGCCGUAGGAGGCGGCGCGUUUCAAACGCCUUGCCGGUCGCGCCAUGCCGACUAUGAUCGGCAGAGGGUCGGUGGGCAGGAUUCGGGGAGAAAUUAUUUUUCACGCAGACGGUAGAUGUGUAGAGUGUCGAUGUGGGCUUCCGUUGCUACCCGGUAUGCUGUUACGUCUGACGGUCCUUGGCUGGAGCUGUAGCCGUUCCUCGGUUGGAGCUGUAGCCGUUCUCGGUUGGAGACGCUGCUCGGUUAGAGUUGUGGCCGGUCCUCGGUUGGAUUAUGUUGGUUCGGCGCACUGUUGUAGGUGCCCGCCUCCGCCCGGAGCGGGCGCCGCCUGGCUGUGUGAGAGCUGUUUGAGCGCAGGGUACGUCUGGAGCGGGUCCAUCGUGUUUGCCGGUCGCCGCCGCGCGCCAACCCAGAGCUGGUUACUCGCAGGUAGCACGCGCCCGCUCGUUUUGUUGUAUGUCCGCCGCGGGAAGUCGGUUUGGUUCCUGUAGUCGGCCGUUUACCAAUGUGUUAUCACGUCUAGUCGGGUGGGUCGGGCCGGGGCGCCAUUGCUCUCGGGCAUAGUACAAUCGCGGCGCUCGGGGCCGUGGAGAAGUGAGGGACGGCAAUGCCACUCAAACCUGCUGUUGGCUGCGACUCGCGGCUUAUUCCUGGCUUUGUUAAUGUUUUAUGACUCCAUGAAAUAAAGAACGCUGCCAA
Molecule: unclassified non-coding RNA, 5990 nt
Filed under: Amphibalanus amphitrite
Lineage: Eukaryota; Metazoa; Arthropoda; Thecostraca; Balanomorpha; Balanidae
Description: phosphatidate phosphatase LPIN1-like, transcript variant X3
Source: RNAcentral